AAGAAACACUAUGAGAUCUCCUUGCAGCUUGACCCUGUGGCAGUAGGCACCAAGGAGAAUUACAGUCUCCUGAGAAGAAAGCUAGAACAAAUGCAGAAGAAAGAUGUCUGAUCUGCCCUUCAUGUUGGGAGUUUGAAGGUAUGGACUCCCAUGCUUUUGUGAUGUGUGUAUGUAUUCUCCAACAUGUGUGAUGUUAGUGCGCGGGAUAAUAUUCCGGGGUUGGUAGAUUACCCUGCCAUACUUUAGGCAACCUAACAUCCUGGUCUCUGUUCUGUCCAGUGUUCAGAGGGCUAUCUGUGUGCAGACACUGUGUUUCCAUGUUUUUAGCUGUAAAGUGGGUUUCCAUCUC
Molecule: long non-coding RNA, 349 nt
Filed under: Rattus norvegicus (Norway rat)
Lineage: Eukaryota; Metazoa; Chordata; Mammalia; Rodentia; Muridae
Description: long non-coding RNA NONRATT011219
Source: RNAcentral